This 468-nucleotide ribosomal RNA is filed under the name uncultured bacterium. RNAcentral describes it as "partial 16S ribosomal RNA". It matches the Rfam family "Bacterial small subunit ribosomal RNA", at positions 28 to 507 of the family's 1533-position model. The record is from RNAcentral.
GACGAACGCUGGCGGCGUGCUUAACACAUGCAAGUCGAACGGAAAGGCCCUGCUUUUGUGGGGUGCUCGAGUGGCGAACGGGUGAGUAACACGUGAGUAACCUGCCCUUGACUUUGGGAGAACUUCAGGAAACUGGGGCUAAUACCGGAUAGGAGCUCCUGCUGCAUGGUGGGGAUUGGAAAGUUUCGGCGGUUGGGGAUGGACUCGCGGCUUAUCAGCUUGUUGGUGGGGUAGUGGCUUACCAAGGCUUUGACGGGUAGCCGGCCUGAGAGGGUGACCGGCCACAUUGGGACUGAGGUACGGCCCAGACUCCAACGGGAGGCAGCAGGGGGGAACAUUGCCCAAUGGGCGGAAGCCUGAUGCAGCAACGCCGCGUGCGGGAUGACGGCCUUCGGGUUGUAAACCGCUUUCGCCUGUGACGAAGCUUGAGUGACGGUAAUGGGUAAAGAAGCACCGGCUAACUACGUG